Paramuricea clavata is the source of this 1441-nucleotide non-coding RNA. The record is from the annotation of a GenBank genome assembly. NCBI's taxonomy places the organism in Eukaryota, Metazoa, Cnidaria, Anthozoa, Malacalcyonacea, Plexauridae.
CUCAACUGCUGGCAUAUUUCUGGUGUUCCUGAGGUAGGGGCUAAUGUGACAGCUAGCCCUAGGCCAGUAAGCAAGGUCUCACUCACUGUGUGGUUAUUUUUAUAGUGGAAAUUCCUUUCAAAUUGUAUGGACAACCUGACUGGCUCAGUUUUCAAAUCUCACCUGAAGAAGGCAAGCUCUCAGUUACACUGGGAAGAUAUUUUAUGGAUAUAAACACUAACUGGACUGACCUGGUCAAAGUAAAGUCAAUACAACAUUGGUCAUGGAAAUAUUGUCAAAACAAUAGACUGAAUUGUGUCGGCAAGGAAAUUAAUCUGGAAAUAAUAAAUAGUUCUGCCAACCAGGCCAGCCUGGCUUCCAUAUUGAUAGCCCCUAUGGCUAUAAUCUAUUCUUGCUUAUUGCAGAAUGCUCCCACAAUGAGUUCAUGCCACUGUUGUUAGUGAACCUCCAAGAAGCAUGUAUUAAUUGUUUCAAAAUUAAUUAAAGACAAAAAUUUGCUUGAUUUUGUAUAUUAUUUAUUUUAAUUCAACUUGCAUGGUUAAAGAAUAAUUAUCCAAUUGGGACGUUCCAGAAAAGAUCCACACUCCCCCCACCGAGGAAAUUUCUGACGUCCGAAGGGGGAGGGGAGAAAAAAUUGUUUCUGAUAAUAGUAAAUGUACGUAAUUUCCUCUGUGGGGGUGGUAUGGAUGUUUUCUGGAAUAUGACCCAUUAGCAGUAAAUAAUAUUAAAACCUAACUGUACAAUCAAGUUACAUGUAAUACUUAACAGUAUUAUUAAAAAAAUAAAACUAGAGCUCAUGGGUUAUUCUUUGGCUGUUUGUAGUACAUACAUAUAAAUAACACAUUCCCACAAAAUUAUAGAGAAAAGUAAUUGUUAGUUCUGGCAUGCAGUUAAGUCUGGCAAGAGCUAGUGCACCACUUAACUCUUGCUAUUUGAACAUUCGAAAGAACUUGUAUUAAUUUCUUGUCUACAUGACUUACAUCAGAUUCACCCUAAAUGAGAAAUGUCCAUUAUACAUAUAAAAUAGUGACAGUACCAUAUGAAGACACUGAAGAUGUAUUGGGUCACAGAUCCCAGACUCCAAUUACAAGGAAAUUUACUGCAGAGCAGAGCCCAGACAGUUCAGUUAGACAUUGACAUGUUAACCCAUUGAGCACUGAGUGGCUCUCCAGUUCACAAGUAAAAUUGUCUGGUGUUAGACAGAGUAAAAUAAUAAAGUAGCUAGGGUGCAUUAGGGCACAAUGCAACCUAAUGGUUAAUUAAUAUGGUAUGUCAUUUAUAAGCCCGUCUAAUAUGCCAGGCAAUUUUACUUGUUAAGGGGACAAUCUUGUCCAUUAUAAAUGGAUUAAUUGUAUUUCUUAACUAUCCCAAAGUUUCAUUUUACAUUACAAUAUAUCAAAAAUAAUCUAUGCAGAUAUAAGAGAGGAAGUUCAUAAAUAAU